ACUCCAACGGGGGGCAGCCGUGGGGCCUAUUGCCCAAUUUGGUCCCCCCUGAUGCAGCAACGCCGCGUGAGUGAUGACGGCCUUCGGGUUGUAAAGCUCUGUCUUCAGGGACGAUAAUGACGGUACCUGAGGAGGAAGCCACGGCUAACUACGUGCCAGCAGCCGCGGUAAUACGUAGGUGGCGAGCGUUGUCCGGAUUUACUGGGCGUAAAGGGAGCGUAGGCGGACUUUUAAGUGAGAUGUGAAAUACUCGGGCUCAACUUGAGUGCUGCAUUUCAAACUGGAAGUCUAGAGUGCAGGAGAGG
Molecule: ribosomal RNA, 305 nt
Filed under: uncultured bacterium
Lineage: Bacteria
Description: bacterial SSU rRNA
Rfam family: Bacterial small subunit ribosomal RNA
Source: RNAcentral